RNAcentral lists this ribosomal RNA (464 nucleotides) under uncultured bacterium. RNAcentral's name for it is "partial 16S ribosomal RNA". It matches the Rfam family "Bacterial small subunit ribosomal RNA", at positions 339 to 795 of the family's 1533-position model. The record is from RNAcentral.
CUACGGGUCGCUGCAGUGGGGAAUAUUGGACAAUGGGCGCAAGCCUGAUCCAGCAAUACCGCGUGUGUGAAGAAGGCCUGCGGGUUGUAAAGCACUUUCAAUUGUGAAGAAAAGCCUGGGGUUAAUACCCUCGGGUCUUGACGUUAACUUUAGAAGAAGCACCGGCUAACUCCGUGCCAGCAGCCGCGGUAAUACGGAGGGUGCGAGCGUUAAUCGGAAUUACUGGGCGUAAAGCGUGCGUAGGCGGCUAGGUCAGUCAGAUGUGAAAGCCCCGGGCUUAACCUGGGAACUGCAUUUGAUACUGCCUGGCUCGAGUAUGGUAGAGGGAAGUGGAAUUCCGGGUGUAGCGGUGAAAUGCGUAGAUAUCCGGAGGAACACCAGUGGCGAAGGCGACUUCCUGGACCAAUACUGACGCUGAGGUACGAAAGCGUGGGUAGCAAACAGGAUUAGAUACCCGCGUAGUC